AGAGUUUGAUCAUGGCUCAGGACGAACGCUGGCGGCGUGCUUAACACAUGCAAGUCGAACGAUGACGGUGGUGCUUGCACCGCCUGAUUAGUGGCGAACGGGUGAGUAACACGUGAGUAACCUGCCCUCCACUUCGGGAUAACCUCGGGAAAUCGUGGCUAAUACCGGAUACGAACACUCAUCGCAUGGUGGGUGUUGGAAAGAUUUAUCGGUGGGGGAUGGACUCGCGGCCUAUCAGUUUGUUGGUGAGGUGAUGGCUCACCAAGACGAUGACGGGUAGCCGGCCUGAGAGGGCGACCGGCCACACUGGGACUGAGACACGGCCCAGACUCCUACGGGAGGCAGCAGUGGGGAAUAUUGCACAAUGGGCGAAAGCCUGAUGCAGCGACGCCGCGUGGGGGAUGACGGCCUUCGGGUUGUAAACCCCUUUCAGUAGGGAAGAAGCGAGAGUGACGGUACCUGCAGAAGAAGCGCCGGCUAACUACGUGCCAGCAGCCGCGGUAAUACGUAGGGGCGCAAGCGUUGUCCGGAAUUAUUGGGCGUAAAGAGCUUGUAGGUGGCUUGUCGCGUCUGCCGUGAAAACCCGAGGCUCAACCUCGGGCGUGCGGUGGGUACGGGCAGGCUAGAGUGUGGUAGGGGAGACUGGAACUCCUGGUGUAGCGGUGAAAUGCGCAGAUAUCAGGAAGAACACCGAUGGCGAAGGCAGGUCUCUGGGCCAUUACUGACACUGAGAAGCGAAAGCAUGGGUAGCGAACAGGAUUAGAUACCCUGGUAGUCCAUGCCGUAAACGUUGGGCACUAGGUGUGGGGGACAUUCCACGUUUUCCGCGCCGUAGCUAAC
RNAcentral lists this ribosomal RNA (840 nucleotides) under Brachybacterium paraconglomeratum. RNAcentral describes it as "bacterial SSU rRNA". It matches the Rfam family "Bacterial small subunit ribosomal RNA", at positions 8 to 856 of the family's 1533-position model. Lineage: Bacteria; Bacillati; Actinomycetota; Actinomycetes; Micrococcales; Dermabacteraceae. The record is from RNAcentral.